This 229-nucleotide ribosomal RNA is filed under the name uncultured bacterium. Its description in RNAcentral is "partial 16S ribosomal RNA". It matches the Rfam family "Bacterial small subunit ribosomal RNA", at positions 568 to 796 of the family's 1533-position model. The record is from RNAcentral.
UCCGUAGGUGGAUAAUUAAGUCAGGGGUGAAAGUCUGCAGCUCAACUGUAGAAUUGCCCUUGAUACUGGUUGUCUUGAGUCAUUAUGAAGUAGUUAGAAUAUGUAGUGUAGCGGUGAAAUGCAUAGAUAUUACAUAGAAUACCAAUUGCGAAGACAGAUUACUAAUAAUGUACUGACACUGAUGGACGAAAGCGUGGGGAGCGAACAGGAUUAGAUACCCUGGUAGUCC